This 460-nucleotide ribosomal RNA is filed under the name uncultured bacterium. RNAcentral's name for it is "partial 16S ribosomal RNA". It matches the Rfam family "Bacterial small subunit ribosomal RNA", at positions 338 to 795 of the family's 1533-position model. The record is from RNAcentral.
CCUACGGGUGGCAGCAGUGAGGAAUAUUGGUCAAUGGGCGGAAGCCUGAACCAGCCAAGUCGCGUGAGGGAAUAAGGCCCUACGGGUCGUAAACCUCUUUUACCGGGGAGCAAGGGCGGGGACGUGUCCCGGCCCGGAGAGUACCCGGAGAAAAAGCAUCGGCUAACUCCCGGCCAGCCGCCGCGGUAAUACGGAGGAUGCGGGCGUUAUCCGGAUUUAUUGGGUUUAAAGGGUGCGUAGGCGGGCGUUUUAGUUAGCGGGAAAAAUUCGGGGCUCAACCGCGUACGGCCGUUGAAACUGGGGGCCUUGAGUGGGCGCGAAGAAGGCGGAAUGCGUGGUGUAGCGGUGAAAUGCAUAGAUAUCACGCAGAACCCCGAUUGCGAAGGCAGCCUUCCGGCGCCCAACUGACGCUGAGGCGCGAAAGUGCGGGGAUCGAACAGGAUUAGAUACCCGUGUAGUC